UCGCCGGCCACCAGCCCCGGGCCCGACAUGGCUGGCUCCGCUCUGCGCCGCUCCGCGCCUGCGCGUCCGUCGCCGAGCCCCGCAGGGCGCCUGCGCCUCGCCGCCCGCCCCGCCGCGCCCCGCCCCCGCGCGCCGGGCUGCCCUGGGGGAACGCGGGGGGACCGGGCCCGACGGGGACCCCCCGGAGAAAACACACCGUUAGCAUGCGGAGACACUCCAGGAGCGAUUGGGCUAACAACUUUUGCAAGGAAGAAAUUCAUGCUUGCCAGGUGGAAGACGUCUACCCCCUUGGUAUGUUUGCGGCCAAGGCCAAAACCAAGAAACAAUUAUAGGCAGCUCUAGGAUUAGACUUCCACAAACUUUAUCUAAAGAUGGAAAAGCUUACAAAUAAUAUAAACGAUAUUAUAUAAAUUAUGUAUAUUUUUAUAUAUGGAAUAUUGUUUAUAUUAUUAAAUUGUAAUUAUAUAAAAUUAUAAAAAUAUAAAUAUUUUUAAAACAAAAGAAAAAUUUUACAAAGUGCUCAGUAUAGGUAAAAUAGGUCAAAGUGCAUGAGGCAAAGUGUGCACUCUUUUGCAUAAAAUUAUUUGUUCAGUAGCCAUGUUUAUAAAAAAAUACUCAACAAAGAAACCUGCUUCUUUACCAAGACUGCGAAGGAUUUUGUUCAUCCCCCUUGGUUCAGUCUCUGGAAUACUCUCCAAAUACUCCAAGGCACGGACCUCAAAAAGACCUGAAGAAGAAAAAUAUCACUCAGCCAUUCCCAUUUCUUAGUAUGUGGCAUCUCAAAUUAUUAACAAGGUUAUGAAAAGAAAAUUGUGCCUGCAAUAUCAGCUGCAGGAUCAAGCCUAGAAAGGAGACAGAUACACAAAAAUUCUUUGCCUAACAAGACGCAUUCCACUGAGUCAUUAGAAGGCAUGAAGCUAUUGCCGUUGCAUUGUGCCAUAUCUGCAUUACAUUUGCCAUGGUGCCAACAGGGUAACUUGUCAGGACAGAAGGCUGCUUAAGAGUCAAAGUGAUGUGACAUUAUACUUUGAAAGUCCCUUUGUAAAAUGAGAAAAGGGUAUUAAACCUCACCUUUGACCAUGCUCUUACUCAGCUCUCGAUCUUGUAUGAACCCUGCAAACAUCUGUGUUUCCAUGAACAAGUGCAGGAAAUGACGCACAUUACGUGACAUAUGAGAUUUUCGGAACAAUUCCCGCUGAAACACCCACUCCCCUUUUUCUGUGACAUUCAUGUGUAGGGAGUAGUGUCCAACAAUCUCCACAAAGAACCGCACAAAAGCUUCAGAGACCAGGGAGUUAAGAGGCAUAUCACCUGUGAAAAGUACAACAGAGUAGUCAUUUCCCUCUACAUUCAUCAUUUUGAGCAGUCCUCUUCUGAGAAAGAGUCAUAUAGUCUAUUGUAGACGUACAGUCUAUGUAUAGACUUUUCUAUACAGGUACCUUGUGUGCUACUCUGCUCCUGAGACAGGAUUUCACUUCGUUCCUCCAAGAUUUGUACAAGUGCAGCCUGGAGCUUAUGAGGCAGGAUCUCAUCCUCAUCUGAUACCUAAAAAAAGAAAUGGCUAGGAAGGCAUUUUUGUGUUUUAUCUGUCAUCAACAGAAACUUCUCACUGUGAACAGAUGAGAAAAGCUUGUGACACACCUGAAAUGAUCAGAGGGAAGUUACUCUACGAUAUGGGGUAUGUCUUCAAAUGCAUUGAAGACAAUGCAUUUGUCUUGUAGCCACAGCAAUGAAAAACAUUUGCUCAGCACCUUCCAGCUAAGUAGUAGUAGUAGUCACAUGCACAAAUGACCAACACAGAAAAAUGUAUGCUACAUCCACUACACAGACUCAGGCUUAAUAUACCAGUGAUAAAACACACUAGAACAAAAGUCUGCUCAGAAAAGAUGGCAAGUCACAACAUUCUGUUGAAAAAGCAGUCCUUUAAUACCUUUCUCCAGUUGCAGGCUGCAACACAAAAUAGAACAAUAAGGCAAGGAAAAGGAGAUGCAAAUACCCUCCUGAACUACUAAUGCUCCAGGAUGUUUAUGUAGAAGGCACUUUCUUUACAUUGGGGAAAGUUUGGGGCCAGCAGAGAACUGCAAGAGAACUGUGAUAGCUUGUCUUCUAGAUUAUCAUUCCUGAAAAAAAAAAAACAAAACACCUCACCUAGAUGAGAGAGGAGAAAGCCCUUUCGAGAAUGGGUGCACAAAAACAGGAAGACAGCCAGAAAGCAGCAAAGAAUCCUAGUGGUCCACUUAACAAAUCAACUAAGAAUCUAAGUCCAGCCCAGAUAAACAGCACCUUCAGUUUCAUAGGGCUCUGUAUCUCAUACAACCUCAGCCUUGCAAAAAGGAUCCUUGCAAGCCUGUUCACUUUCCUUCUCUGUGGAUCUAAAAGGAAUGCAGGAUGUUACCUGGCCCCCCACAGUCUACACAUGAAUACUAGCUUGUGCUGAUUUCUUGCUUACAAUUCCAUUUGUCAAUGCCCUUUCCCAGCGCAUAGCCAUGAGUGGCCAACAACGUUACUUCACUCACCUCUUGCAAAAACCGGUCAGUGCAAAGAUCAACAAUCAGAACCUGGGGAAGGAUGUACAAAACACAUUAACUCUUAAUCCAAGUAUGCUGCUGUACAGAAAAAAAAAAAAGAAAAACCUUUUUUUUUUUUUUUAAUGUCCUCAGUGGCACAGAAUUUCACACACAAACCACAGGUUUUCCAUAACUGCAUCCUGUCCCUAAGAACAAUCAAUAUUAUUUAUCUGAAAUAACAAUGGAAUGGCCUGACAUGUAUCUGGCAAGUCAUCAACAGUCUCGGAAAGUUUAACACUUCAUAUCAAGAGAGUAUCCACAGUUUCUUCCAGAGAAGUUAGCAUCAUACCACUGGAAUUGUUUCUCCCCUUUUUUUUCCCCCAACUCUCACCUCUUCUAUGGGCAGGUCCUGGAGCCGUGGUAACGAGCAGGAGAGAAUGCCAAUUAAGAACGGGGUCGGAGAGCAGGCAAUAUCAAUCAUGGAAGUCGGUAGGACUGGUAUGUAGGUGUGUUGCCAAGUGAAGGGAUAAAGUGUUGCCACUGCGGCAUGGCCACAUUUAGACAGAGUGCUAAAAAGGAAAGAGAAGCACAGAGUAGGUUGUCAAUGUAUUCAUUGCUGAGCUACAGACAUAGUUUAGAAAUGUUCAUGAAAACCAUAAUUUACAUACAUUCUUUAUGCGACAGCAGAAGCCCCAUGCACCUACUUUUGAAGUCAGUUAUGGAGAACCAGAAAUAGCAUCAACCCACACUAAAGAAAUAAGUAGGUAAGGUAACAUGCCCUUAUCUCCUUUCGGGUAAAUAGCAUACUCCAAAUUCUCAGCAUGCACAUACUAUAUGGAGAAUCUGCAAAAAGCUCUUAAAUGUAACUAUUUACAAAAAGUUAGACAAGCUUGCACAUGAAACAGGCCCAAACACAGAAGAAAACCCAACACUCUUCAGAAAGAAAAAGUCACUCAGACUCAUUUUUCACCUUAAAUUGUCAGCAACCAAGAUCACCCUCCUUUCCAGCAGGAGAGAGGCAAAGACCCGAAUCAUGCGAGAGACACUUAAACACUUAAACAGGCAUUCGAAGUCAACAUGUUCAAGUCGAGAAUCCAACGGACGGCAGAGUUCCAUAACCUGGGAGAAAAGCAGAGAUGCAGGACUCCGGAUGAGAGCGCCACAACAUGGAGGAGGGCUGGAUGGGGGGGAUCUCUCUGGAAAGCAAACUGAUGGAUCCUCACAAGUAGGAACCAAGCAGCUUAGACAGUUCAGGGCAUCACAAAGGCCUCAACCAGCACUUCUCUAAAAAAACAGGGAAUCACUUCUAUCGCAGUAUGCUUCUGCAGGAGGCAGGUUUCUCUGACAGCCUCCCUUGAAAGUUUAGAAAAUAAUCUUCACAUUAAUUACUUACAGCCAGCACCACUGUACAGUGCAGUUUGCAAAGUGCCACUACACCCCAGUGACACCAACCAACAGAAAAAAGCCAGUCCGGAUUUCAGUUACCUCAUUUCCUGCUCCUGGCAGGAAACUCUUCACAGUAAUAGUGCAUCCAGGAGCAGGGAAAGGUGCCUCCAUGACACUACGCAUAAAUGGGUGCACUAGGGCUGGGGACAUCUCUCGUCUCUUCUCCACUUCAUCUAAAAUCUGCGAGAAAAUAAAUCAGACAGUGGUUCAGUGCCUGCUGGUGAGCCAUACAAGAAAUGAUUCUAUGCUGCAUUAUCCCAUUCUGCAGCUACACAUGAAGGGUGCAACAUGGACUCUCAGCCCUCUUCCCCCUUGCUUGGGACCCCUGUGUAAGCUCUCAAAGAUCUGAAUAAUGAACAUGGGAAUAGGUACUACAACUUCCCAUUUCUCAAAUCCAGUCCCCUGCUACUGAAAGGAAAUGUGUUAUAUGUAUUAAUCAAAUUCUCACAACUAAUUAGAGGAGUAGCUUCUUAUGUCUCACCCUUCAGCAAGACCCCAUCCUCCUCUCCAGGAAGCCUUUCUGAAAUGCUGUUCUAGAAACUCAGUGCUCCAACAGUUAGAGACCAGCUUUCAUCAUAAGCUUGUCCCCUGUAUUCUUCCGCAAUAGCUGCCCUUUACCUGUAAUAGCCUUUCCCAGCAUUUACUUCCUUACCUACUCUCCCCAUGGUGGUAGGAGAAAUAAACAGCUCUUUUUUCUCCUCUUAAA
This is a long non-coding RNA of Dromaius novaehollandiae (emu), 4659 nucleotides long. RefSeq lists it as uncharacterized. The record is from RefSeq and is a predicted model, not a curated record. The transcript has 2 exons. NCBI's taxonomy places the organism in Eukaryota, Metazoa, Chordata, Aves, Casuariiformes, Dromaiidae.